GAUGAAGAACGUAGCGAAAUGCGAUAAGUAAUGUGAAUUGCAGAAUUCAGUGAAUCAUCGAAUCUUUGAACGCACAUUGCGCCCGCCAGUAUUCUGGCGGGCAUGCCUGUUCGAGCGUCAUUUCAACCAUCAAGCCCCCGGCUUGUGUUGGGGACCUGCGGCUGCCGCAGGCCCUGAAAAGCAGUGGCGGGCUCGCUGUCACACCGAGCGUAGUAGAUUCCAUCUCGCUCAGGGCGUGCUGCGGGUUCCGGCCGUUAAACCACCUUCAUAACCCAAGGUUGACCUCGGAUCAGGUAGGAAGACCCGCUGAACUUAAGCAUAUCAAUAAGCGGAGGA
This 336-nucleotide unclassified non-coding RNA is filed under the name soil metagenome. RNAcentral's name for it is "partial contains 5.8S ribosomal RNA, internal transcribed spacer 2, and large subunit ribosomal RNA". The stretch from base 1 to 120 matches the Rfam family "5.8S ribosomal RNA", at positions 35 to 154 of the family's 154-position model. The record is from RNAcentral.